AAUUCCGCGAAAAUUGGCAGCACCUUGUCAAAGCGUAGCUGACAGCCCCUUGAGAUUAAAAAAAUUGCAGGAGCAGUAAAAUUAAUCUGAAAAAUAGAGAAAAACACUGUAAUAAAUAUACCAAAAUUCAACCUAUCCAAAAAGAUUCUGAAAGAAUUGAAAAGAAAAACAUAAUUGCAAUUGAUAAAACUAGAAAAUUCAGUAAAAUUCCAAGGAGAAAAUGAGACCAUUGGUAUAAAGCUAUCGAUCGAGAUUACAGAGAAGCAUAAUUGAGAACAAACUUUUUUUAGAAUCAGAGUGAUUUGAGUACUUUAAUUUGUUAGAUUAAAAUGUAAAUACUCCGAAACUACUUGAAAAUAAUGAAUAGCAAUUCUCAUACUCAAAUGUCAAGUAAUAUGAAAAAAAAUCAAAUAUAUUGAGAGAGACAACAGUAAUUGAAAGAAGUAGAAUGAAGAUGAAAAGAACGUACUUCAGCAAAAAUUGAGAUUGUAUUAUAAAUGCAAUAUUCCAAGAAAACUGGGUUUCCUCGUUCUGAGUGGAUGGACAGUGUGAAGUGGGUAUAACCCAAUCAUAUACUAGUAAUUUUUAGU
RNAcentral lists this long non-coding RNA (590 nucleotides) under Nicotiana tabacum (common tobacco). RNAcentral describes it as "long non-coding RNA (NTAB_LNC015492)". Lineage: Eukaryota; Viridiplantae; Streptophyta; Magnoliopsida; Solanales; Solanaceae. The record is from RNAcentral.